Molecule: ribosomal RNA, 447 nt
Filed under: uncultured bacterium
Lineage: Bacteria
Description: bacterial SSU rRNA
Rfam family: Bacterial small subunit ribosomal RNA
Source: RNAcentral
GAUUAACGCUGGCGGCGUGCCUAAUGCAUGCAAGCCGAACGGCCCGAUUUAUCGGGCAGUGGCGAACGGGUGAGUAACACGUAAGAACCUAACCCUCAAGUGGGGAAUAACCCCGAGAAAUCGGGGCUAAUACCGCAUAAGCUCCCCGAUUAUAUCGGGGAGGAAAGCUGAGGCGCUUGAGGACGGGCUUGCGUCCGAUUAGCUAGUUGGUGAGGUAAGGGCUCACCAAGGCUGAGAUCGGUAGCUGGUCUGAGAGGAUGAUCAGCCACACUGGGACUGAGAUACGGCCCAGACUCCUACGGGAGGCAGCAGCAGGGGAUAUUGCGCAAUGGGUGAAAGCCUGACGCAGCAACGCCGCGUGGGGGAAGAAGGUUUUCGGAUCGUAAACCCCUUUUCUCGGGGAAGAUGGUGACGGUACCCGAGGAAUAAGUCUCGGCUAACUACGUG